AGGGAUGCUAGGACUGGAAGCAGCGAUAGAACGCUAUGGAUCUGAGGAUUUUCCUCUAAUCUACAUCAAGUAUCAAAUAACUCCUAAACGUGCUAGUGUGACGGCGCCUUAUCCAGACGGAGUGACGUGUGUAAGAAAUUAUACUGCACGUGUCCAAAAGGCUCCUUGUGGUGUGAAACUUAAUGGAGGAAGUAAGGUCUCUCUCGCUCUCAAACCACCUACGUAAGGAAGAGAAGGAGAUGGAGGAGGAGGAGGAGGAGGAGGAGGAGCACACUUCACUACGUCAUUAAACAGCUUCGAGUCACCAAACCAAACGCUACCUAACCGAACCAAUUUUCGCAGCCCGUUCGAAGCCGGCGCUGGAGAGGAGGAGAGGCAAGGAGGAUGGAGGUCAUAUUCGUUACCUUUCAUUUCUUCGCCAGCGUGAGUGGGAAGUGCAUCUGUUAUCGUGUUUAAUCCAACCUUUGCUGCGUCUCUUAAGUGUAAUCCUUCCUGUAACACGAGCCUGGGUGUCUUAACUAAGUCCCGAAGAACACCGGACUGACUGAAGACGAGAGGAGGGUGGUGGUGGUGGUGGUGGUGGUGGUGGUGGUGGUGGUGAUGAUGAAGAGAUUGCUGCUGGUGUCGACUAGGAGCUAUUAAACUUGUAUUUAGUAAGGAACAAAGCAAGGAGUGUAGGAGAAGCAAGAGAGGCAUUGUGGAGAUAUCAUCUCUUGAAGGCUGCCCAGGAGGAGUGAGGCUGUUCUGGCGGCAAUAUCCAGGACACGGGUCUUGUGGUGGAUGAACUGCUGUUGUGCUGAGAACUGCACUACCAACCCCCUGCUGUCCAUCUUAGACCACUACUGCUGCUCUCCAGACCUGGCUGCUGCAUCUGCCUCAGGUGCUGCACUCCAAGACUUCCUGCUGUAUCUUGAUUGUUGUAACAGUUCCUGAUGCGUUCCCAGUGUGUCAGACUUGUGGUCUUGUAGUGUUGCAAGUAAUGAGCUUCCUAGUGUUCAAAGUCCUAGACUCCCCACCUCAGUGACAAUUGCUUGAUUUGCUUUUUUUUUUUUUUUUUUUUUUUUUAAAUCUUUGAAAAUCGUACUGCUUGUUCUCCGGAGUUUUUCUUUUAUUAAAGGUGGAAUGUUUAGAUUUUCUAUACACCCUAACCCUAUUUUAUAUAUUAACUGACUGAGGUUUUCUAGUUUUUCUUUUAUUAAAGGUGAAUUUAUUAAA
Molecule: long non-coding RNA, 1215 nt
Organism: Scylla paramamosain (green mud crab)
Lineage: Eukaryota; Metazoa; Arthropoda; Malacostraca; Decapoda; Portunidae
Exons: 6
Source: RefSeq, a predicted model, not a curated record